AAUACGGAGGGUGCAAACGUUGCUCGGAAUCAUUGGGCGUAAAGCGCGCGUAGGCGGCGAAGCAAGUUGGAUGUGAAAGCCCUGGGCUCAACCUAGGAUGUGCAUACAAAACUGCUUCGCUUGAAUCUCGGAGGGGGUCAGGGAAUUCCCGGUGUAGAGGUGAAAUUCGUAGAUAUCGGGAGGAACACCAGUGGCGAAGGCGCUGACCUGGACGAUGAUUGACGCUGAGGCGCGAAAGCGUGGGGAGCAAACA
Molecule: ribosomal RNA, 253 nt
Filed under: uncultured prokaryote
Description: partial 16S ribosomal RNA
Rfam family: Bacterial small subunit ribosomal RNA
Source: RNAcentral